RNAcentral lists this ribosomal RNA (429 nucleotides) under Pseudomonadota bacterium. Its description in RNAcentral is "Proteobacteria bacterium partial 16S ribosomal RNA". It matches the Rfam family "Bacterial small subunit ribosomal RNA", at positions 355 to 776 of the family's 1533-position model. The record is from RNAcentral. Lineage: Bacteria; Pseudomonadati; Pseudomonadota.
UGGGGAAUAUUGGACAAUGGGCGAAAGCCUGAUCCAGCCAUGCCGCGUGUGUGAAGAAGGUCUUCGGAUUGUAAAGCACUUUAAGUUGGGAGGAAGGGCAGUAAGCGAAUACCUUGCUGUUUUGACGUUACCGACAGAAUAAGCACCGGCUAACUCUGUGCCAGCAGCCGCGGUAAUACAGAGGGUGCAAGCGUUAAUCGGAAUUACUGGGCGUAAAGCGCGCGUAGGUGGUUCGUUAAGUUGAAUGUGAAAGCCCCGGGCUCAACCUGGGAACUGCAUCCAAAACUGGCGAGCUAGAGUAGGGCAGAGGGUGGUGGAAUUUCCUGUGUAGCGGUGAAAUGCGUAGAUAUAGGAAGGAACACCAGUGGCGAGGGCGACCACCUGGGCUCAUACUGACACUGAGAUGCGAAAGCGUGGGGAGCAAACAGG